GAUGAACGCUAGCUACAGGCUUAACACAUGCAAGUCGAGGGGCAGCAUGAAAGGAACUUCGGUUCUUUUUGAUGGCGACCGGCGCACGGGUGCGUAACGCGUAUCGAACCUGCCUCAUACUCGGGGAUAGCCUUGCGAAAGUAAGAUUAAUACCCGGCGGUCUCGGAUGGCCGCAUGACUGUCCGAGUGAAGAUUUAUCGGUAUGAGAUGGCGAUGCGUCCCAUUAGCUUGUUGGUGAGGUAACGGCUCACCAAGGCAUCGAUGGGUAGGGGUUCUGAGAGGAAGGUCCCCCACAUUGGAACUGAGACACGGUCCAAACUCCUACGGGAGGCAGCAGUGAGGAAUAUUGGUCAAUGGACGAAAGUCUGAACCAGCCAAGUAGCGUGCAGGAAGACGGCCCCCUGGGUUGUAAACUGCUUUUAGUUGGGAAUAAAAAGAGGGACGUGUCCCUUAUUGUAUGUACCAUCAGAAAAAGGACCGGCUAAUUCCGUGCCAGCAGCCGCGGUAAUACGGAAGGUCCAGGCGUUAUCCGGAUUUAUUGGGUUUAAAGGGAGCGCAGGCGGCGGCGUAAGUCAGUUGUGAAAUCGUGCGGCUUAACCGUGCAAUUGCAGUUGAUACUGCGUCGCUUGAGUGCACACAGGGAUGUUGGAAUUCAUGGUGUAGCGGUGAAAUGCUUAGAUAUCAUGAAGAACUCCGAUCGCGAAGGCAUAUGUCCGGAGUGCAACUGACGCUGAGGCUCGAAAGUGUGGGUAUCAAACCAGG
RNAcentral lists this ribosomal RNA (762 nucleotides) under uncultured bacterium. RNAcentral describes it as "bacterial SSU rRNA". It matches the Rfam family "Bacterial small subunit ribosomal RNA", at positions 28 to 777 of the family's 1533-position model. The record is from RNAcentral.